AAUUAAACACCAUAAUCAAAAAAGACUCACAUAUACUUUACUGAAAGCUUCUAUAGGACUGGACGGGACUCAGAGAAUGUGAGUCAUGAAGAGCUAUAAUUUUCAUGUAAAGCAACUGGAUGUAGUUAAGUAAUAAAAAUUUAAGGUUCUUUCUCUCCAUAUGCUUGGCUGUGUUUGAAUAUUUUUUAAAUGUCUGAUAUUAUACAUACACAACUUAUUUCCUUUGACAUGAGGCUAUGUUGCCAUGAAAGCGGGAAUAUCACUGAGAUAGGUGUAUAAAUUAAGAAUUACACUUAAGGCAUGCUUCUUGAGAUAAAUAGGACCUUUCAUUAAAUAUGACUUGGGUUAAGAAAAGGGGUGCAGUGAGUAAUUAAUUGCAUAAAGUAGUGGUGAAUGUGUCAAUUAAAAUUAGAUUUUGCUACAUGUAAAGAGCUAUCUAAUUAAAUGUCAUUGAAUGAGAAGUGAGUUCUCUCAUGAAACAAGUCUGCAGCAUGGUAUUGCCAAAUUGGUGUGAUUGCUCUAUCAUCAUUAGGCAUAAAGGAUCCUUCUAUUUUCUCUCUUUUUUUCUUCAUCUCACUUACCUACUGAAGCAAUGAAUAUCACUGACUAAAUGGAUGGAGGAGAAGAAAGAUGAUGACAAAGAACCAGUAAUGCAAAUUCAACUAUCCCUGUGUUAUAGAAGCCAGAAAAACUUAAACUGCCAGAUCUCAAGAAGCUUAGCAAAAAGUCAGAAUUUUUUAUUGUUGGAUUCAGAAAGCAUAACUGCAGAAUAAGAGUGGUGGAAGGAAAGUGUCAUUAUUCACUUCAUAAGGAGAAAACCCUGAUAACCUGACUUAUCAUCAAGAUCACUAACUCGAGGUACCCAGUGUUCACCUACUUCACAAAAAAAGACCAAAACAAGAAAAAAACAAUGGCACUUUGAGUAGAUACUCUACAAGAAAACACUGAAUUGAUCAAAGAAGACAGGAAAACCCUCUGAAGCAUGGAACCUUGAAAUCUCAGCAUAGAGAGGUAAGAAAAACACCUGGCCAGGAUUGGCUUCAAAUGCACAGGUAGCAAAAGCAAAACUAGACAAAUUAGAUUAAAUGAAA
RNAcentral lists this long non-coding RNA (1091 nucleotides) under Callithrix jacchus (white-tufted-ear marmoset). RNAcentral describes it as "lncRNA (ENSCJAG00000067015.2)". The record is from RNAcentral. Lineage: Eukaryota; Metazoa; Chordata; Mammalia; Primates; Cebidae.